Molecule: long non-coding RNA, 1011 nt
Organism: Actinia tenebrosa (Australian red waratah sea anemone)
Lineage: Eukaryota; Metazoa; Cnidaria; Anthozoa; Actiniaria; Actiniidae
Source: RefSeq, a predicted model, not a curated record
CUGCUGUUGGUGGUGGAUGUGUUUCAACGGGUGCAAAACACGAUGGGCUUUUAGGCUGAAAUUGUACAAGAACAAAGAUCGUUAUUAGCUCGUGCUCGACCUAACAGAGAGAGAAGUACACGAGAACUAAGAAAGUGAUAAAAAUGCACGUUUGAUGAAAAAAAGUAUAAGUUCAGUGAGGUCGUAACAGGAUGGCUGUUGAUACCUGACAUCUAGCUUGUAGCCACAUACUGCACCUUGUCUCUAUUAACCAAUACAUACACGCCAACCAGUAUGCUAACCAUGGAAUAGUCCAGUAUCUAUCUUGUAAUGAUGGAUUAACUGCACUAAAACAAGAAAGAGAAAAAGACUUUGAUGACAAUAUGGACUCACCUUGUUAAUUUAUGAGUAUUGACCUGAUUAAUGAUGUGUUGACCUGGUGAUGACCCUGUGACCUUCAUAAGAAUGUGGACUCACCUUGUUGCUAUAUCAAUAUAGAAGUGAAUAUCAAGAUGAUAUCAAUGUGCUAACCUGGAGAUGACCCUGUGACCUUCAUAACAAAAUAAGCUCACCUUGUUGCUGUAUGAAUAUUGACCUCUGAGAUUGACCUUUGAGUAUUGACCUGAAGAGCAUGAUGGUUACUCCAUCAUGGUAACCCUGUGGUAAAGGGUGUUAACCCUAGAUGAAUCCCUUACAAUGUUCCAAGGAUACAUCAUUACUGAUUGCCAGCUUGUCAGCCAUUACAGAUAAGUCCAAGUUAUGAUGCUGUCAGUCUUUUGUGGGACAUUCUACACAUGACAGACAACUUACCAGCCAUUACAGUCAAGUAUCUUGUGAUGCUGUGUAGCUUUGGCCAGUAUACAUGACAGACAAUUAUACCAAAUCUGUCAUAUUCAGUCAUACCAAGCUGUUGUGCUGUAAAGCCUUGUCAGAUGAUGCAGCAUCACCAAGAGAUGAAGCACCAUCAAGAUCCAGUCAAUCAGUACUGAAGACAGUAAUCACCAACCAAUGAUAAGAAUAUAAUGCUAUCAG